CCUACGGGAGGCAGCAGUGAGGAAUAUUGGGCAAUGGAGGCAACUCUGACCCAGCCAUGCCGCGUGCAGGAAGACGGCCCUAUGGGUUGUAAACUGCUUUUAUACAGGAAGAAACUUAGCUACGUGUAGUUAACUGACGGUACUGUAAGAAUAAGCACCGGCUAACUCCGUGCCAGCAGCCGCGGUAAUACGGAGGGUGCAAGCGUUAUCCGGAAUCAUUGGGUUUAAAGGGUCCGCAGGCGGUCAAUUAAGUCAGAGGUGAAAUCCCAUAGCUUAACUAUGGAACUGCCUUUGAUACUGGUUGACUUGAGUUAUACGGAAGUGGAUAGAAUGUGUAGUGUAGCGGUGAAAUGCAUAGAUAUUACACAGAAUACCGAUUGCGAAGGCAGUCCACUACGUAUAUACUGACGCUCAUGGACGAAAGCGUGGGGAGCGAACAG
RNAcentral lists this ribosomal RNA (440 nucleotides) under uncultured bacterium. RNAcentral's name for it is "bacterial SSU rRNA". It matches the Rfam family "Bacterial small subunit ribosomal RNA", at positions 338 to 775 of the family's 1533-position model. The record is from RNAcentral.